This 468-nucleotide ribosomal RNA is filed under the name uncultured bacterium. Its description in RNAcentral is "partial 16S ribosomal RNA". It matches the Rfam family "Bacterial small subunit ribosomal RNA", at positions 28 to 507 of the family's 1533-position model. The record is from RNAcentral.
GACGAACGCUGGCGGCGGGCUUAACACAUGCAAGUCGAACGGGAAGGCCGUGCUUUUGUGGGGUGCUCGAUUGGCGAUCGGGUGCGUAACAUGUGUGUAUCCUUCCCUGGGCUUUGGGAUAACUUCAGGAAACUGGGGUUAAUACCUGAUAUGAGCUCCUGCUGCAUGGUGGGCGGUGGAAAGUUUCGGCGGUUGGGGAUGGACGCGCGGCUUAGCGGCUUGUUGGUGGGGUAGUGACUUACCAACGCUUUGACGGCUAGCCGGCCUGUGUGGGUGACCGGCCGCAUUGCAGCUUAGAUACGGCCCAGACUCCUACUGGAGGCAGCAGUGGGGAAUAUUACACAGCGGGCGGAAGCGGGAUGAGGCAACGCCCCGGGCGUGAUGACCGCCUUUGGGCUGUCAAACGCUUUCGCCUGUGACGAAGCGUGCGUGGCGGUAAUGAGUAAAGAAGCACCGGCUAGCUGCGUG